AGGCGGGUCUGUACGUCGAAGGUUAAAGACCACGGCUCAACCGUGGGAGUGCCCUCGAUACGGCAGAUCUUGAGUGUGAGAGAGGUAGGUAGAAUUCCUGGUGUAGCAGUGAAAUGCGUAGAUAUCAGGAGGAAUACCGGUGGCGAAGGCGGCCUACUGGCUCACUACUGACGCUCAUGGACGAAAGCGUGGGUAGCGAACAGGAUUAGAUACCCUGGUAGUCCACGCCCUAAACGAUGUAUGCUUGGUGUUGGAACGUAAGUUCUAGUGCCGGAGGUAACCCGUUAAGCAUACCACCUGGGGAGUACGAUCGCAAGGUUGAAACUCAAAGGAAUUGACGGGGGCCCGCACAAGCGGUGGAUCAUGUGGUUUAAUUCGAUGCAACGCGAAGAACCUUACCCAGGCUUGAAGUGCUAGUGACCGCUGCCGAAAGGUAGCUUUUCUUCGGAACAUUAGCAGAGGUGCUGCAUGGCUGUCGUCAGCUCGUGCCGUGAGGUGUUGGGUUAAGUCCCGCAACGAGCGCAACCCUUAUCUUUAGUUGCCAUCAGGUUAAGCUGGGAACUCUAAAGAGACUGCCCGCGUAAGCGGAGAGGAAGGUGGGGACGACGUCAAGUCAUCAUGGCCCUUAUGUCUGGGGCUACACACGUGAUACAAUGGUGCACACAAUGGGCGAAGCCGCAAGGUGGAGGAAAUCCAUAAAGUGCAUCUCAGUUCGGAUUGGAGUCUGCAACUCGACUCCAUGAAGGUGGAAUCGCUAGUAAUCGUAGAUCAGCGCGCUACGGUGAAUACGUUCCCGGGCCUUGUACACACCGCCCGUCAAGCCAUGGAAGUUGGGGGCGCCCAGAAGCGGUAUUUUAAUAUC
RNAcentral lists this ribosomal RNA (862 nucleotides) under uncultured bacterium. RNAcentral's name for it is "bacterial SSU rRNA". It matches the Rfam family "Bacterial small subunit ribosomal RNA", at positions 573 to 1442 of the family's 1533-position model. The record is from RNAcentral.